This is a non-coding RNA of Microcebus murinus (gray mouse lemur), 8836 nucleotides long. Lineage: Eukaryota; Metazoa; Chordata; Mammalia; Primates; Cheirogaleidae. The record is from RefSeq and is a predicted model, not a curated record.
CUGGGCGGGGUUUGCUGGAAGGAAGGGCUGCAGCGUACAGCAACAGAGUUUAGACUGUCUUUGCUUCAUCAUCUGAAGGUAAAAUUUUCCAGAUACGGCAGGCGGCUUUCAGAGUACAAUAAACAGGGAAUGGGAACUAUUUGCGUGGAGAUUUCUUCCUCAUGAUGUAGUGGAGAAGCCUCGGCCGCUUGAUUCCGCCAGAUCUUCCUGGGGUUACUGUAAAUGGAAAGGACAGGCAGAGCUAAACAAGGUUCAUGAUUUUAGAAGUGCCUGUGUGAAGUCACUUUUGCUGGAAACUGCAGCCUGGGAGCUCUUUUGGUGUUCACAUCUUGUCUGUCUGUCAAACAUACUUUACCCUGACCUUAUGAGUGGAUGAAGAUACCUCAGUUGUCUGACUUUGCCAAUCGCUUCAUUUCAGAAUUUAAAAAGGGGGAAGGAAAAGAAAUCCUGCUAAAAUAUGAACAUCUGAGUGGCUUAUUUUCCAUCGUUGUCAAUAGCUGUGAGUGUCAGAACUAAUAUUCUCCCAAGGAGUGCCAUGAUAUUGAAGUCACUUUAUUAAAAACAGUUAUAUCUGCAAAACAGUCAAGAGACUUGGACAUUUAAAGCCGGAGAUGACACAGAGCAUGCUUCCACUGCGGUCCACUGUCUUCAAGUGGGACAUAUUGAUUGAUGAGUGACUGCCUGCCGAUACAUUCUCCCCUCACUCCGCUCCCUGGAUUGGACUUCAUUAAGCAAUCUAUCGCUCACCUUCAGACUUACAUGUGGGAGUUUUCACAGCAGUAGUUUUGGAAUCAUUAGAACUUGGAUUGAUUUCAUCAUUUAACAGAAACUAACAGCCCAAACUACCUUAUCACCAUGGCUUUGAACGUUGCCCCAGUCAGAGAUACAAAAUGGCUGACGUUGGAAGUCUGCAGACAGUUUCAAAGAGGAACGUGCUCACGCUCCGAUGAAGAAUGCAAAUUUGCUCAUCCCCCGAAAAGUUGCCAGGUGGAAAAUGGAAGAGUAAUUGCCUGUUUUGAUUCCUUAAAGGGCCGUUGUUCAAGAGAGAACUGCAAGUAUCUUCACCCUCCGACACACUUAAAAACUCAACUAGAAAUUAAUGGGAGGAACAAUUUGAUCCAGCAAAAAACUGCAGCAGCGAUGCUUGCCCAGCAGAUGCAAUUUAUGUUUCCAGGAACACCACUUCAUCCAGUGCCCACUUUUCCUGUAGGUCCUGCCAUAGGGACAAAUACGGCUAUUAGCUUUGCUCCUUACUUAGCACCUGUAACCCCUGGAGUUGGGUUAGUCCCAACGGAAAUUCUACCCACCACACCCGUUAUUGUUCCCGGAAGUCCACCUGUCACUGUCCCGGGCUCAACUGCAACUCAGAAACUUCUCAGGACUGACAAACUGGAGGUAUGCAGGGAGUUCCAGCGCGGGAACUGCGCCCGGGGAGAGACCGACUGCCGCUUUGCACACCCCGCCGACAGCACCAUGAUCGACACAAACGACAACACCGUAACCGUUUGUAUGGAUUACAUAAAGGGGCGUUGCAUGAGGGAGAAAUGCAAAUAUUUUCACCCUCCUGCACACUUGCAGGCCAAAAUCAAAGCAGCGCAGCACCAAGCCAACCAAGCCGCGGUGGCCGCCCAGGCAGCCGCGGCCGCGGCCACAGUCAUGACUCAGUCGACUGCCAAAGCAAUGAAGCGACCUCUCGAAGCAACUGUAGACCUGGCCUUUCCCCCUGGUGCACUUCAUCCUUUACCAAAGAGACAAGCACUUGAAAAAAGCAACGGGACCAGUGCGGUCUUUAACCCCAGCGUCCUGCAUUACCAGCAGGCUCUCACCAGCGCACAGUUGCAGCAACACGCCGCCUUCAUCCCGACAGAGCACUAAAAAUAAAACAAGGCUAUUCAAAUUAAAGCAAUCCUCUACUCAUAUUUUUAUAUUCAUUCUCUCUCUUUCUCCAUCCUUCUCAACUUUCACCAAGUUCACAAAUAUAUAGAGCUCUUACUCUUGGUUUCUAAGCCAAUGCCUGAUAAUAUUAGGCGCUAUGGUGCAUUAACUCUGUUAUUCCACUAAGAGAUCAGUUGUAUUAAUCGUAGAAUCUUGGAGUUUAAAGGAUUCUUAGUGAUCUCCUCAUCCAGUUGAUUGUUUUACAGAUGACAAAACUGAGGCCCCCUAAAGGAGAAGUGACUUUCCAAGGUGGCACAACUCAUGAUAAAAAGAUUAGAACCUACUUUCCCUGUGACCAAUUCACCUGACAUGACGUUACACCACCCACCCCUCCUCUAGCUAUUGAUUCCACAGAGUUCUACUAAAAAAUGAGAUAAAAGUGGACUUUUUUUUUAAAGUGCCAAAAAAGUCAGAUAAAAGUGAAGAAACAAAAGUAUAAUGCAUGUUAGCCCUACGCAGUUUUUGCCUACAUCCUUGACCACAAACACACACGGCAUACACAAACGAACACAGUCACCGUUGGUUGACUGUGAUUUUCAACUUUUAGUCUGAUGUAGCCUUUGGUGGGAAGACCAUCCAUUAAGUUUUCAUUCUGAAGUCAAAUCCUUCAUCCCAUGAUAGUGAGUUGAAGGUAAAUAUAGAUGAAUAACAAUUUUAACAAAAAGAGAUUGUAUAACCUAAGGCAUAUGUUUGGACUUUUCCAGUUUAUUAUCCGUUUCUUUAAAUCUCAUAGCAUAUCAGGAGUUAAUAUCUGAGAGAAUCGAAUAAAUAUUUCUGUGAUAUUCUUUGUAUAAAAUCUACAUAUUGAAAUGAAUUAGUAACCUGGGAACACUAUUUAUAAUAGUAAAAAUAUAAAUUGCAUAAACAAAAUGGUUUUUAGUGCUUAGUUUUCUUUAUUUAGUUUUAAACCCAUCUUAAAAUAAACAAACUCAUUGACCUAUAGAGGGACUCUCUAAUUCAGUACUUAUUAGGGCUUCAUUCUUGCCCUAUUACAACAAUAACUAGUGACAUUCCAGUGCUGUUGUAGCAUAACAGUAUUUGUAGAUGCAAUCCAUUUUAAAUAACAUUUGUGAAAUAAUCACUAGAAGGUAAACUUAGCUUGAGGUCCUGUGUGGUUUCUACAAGUGUCUCAUUGUAGACCUCUUGGCCACUAGAUAUUUUAAGAGGAAAAAAAAAUUAAGGAAGAAUAUAUUAAGGGGGAAAACAGAAAAGGACAAGUCUUUUUCUGAAGAAUGAAUGAUACCACCAUUCCCGUCUCCUGGGAUUACCUAUGAAACCCUGAAGCUAAGCAGGGCAAAAGACUCUCAAACCCUAACACAUAUUUAACACUCCAUCCAAUAAUGGAUGACUUAUUAAGAUAUUGAAAGAAUCCUCACUGUAAACUAUUUCACCUUGAAACUAUUUAAAUAUUUCCAAAGCAAGAAUGAAUAACAGCCUUUAUGCCAUGACCUGGUAUUUGUUGAUGAAAUGUAUUAUAUGAAGGACCGAUGUGCUGUAUUGGCUGCUGUAGUUGUGUACUUCCGCCCUCUGGUGGAUACCUUAGGAACAGCUUAAGUGUGUCUGGCAACCCACAAUACAGAGGGCUUUGGUAGCAGAAAAGUGGGUCCUAGCCCACUUAAUUCAGUGAAUUAGAAGUGUUUCCAUCUGUUACAUGAUGUAAAUAUCAUACUGGACAAACACGUGGAUCUCAUGUUCUGAAAUGGUAUUUUAAAUUCUAAGACAUGUUCACAUUUCUCUUAAAUGAGGAAAGAGAAAAUAAUUUUAUUAAAAGGAAAUUAGCAUAAUUUUUCUCCCACUCAAAUCCAUAAUAGACAUUUUAGUGUUUAUUUUAGCUCAAGUUUUUUACUUCAGACUUUGUUUCUUAUAAACCAUAUUUUCAACUUUGUUUUUAAAAUAGUAAUGAUAAUAAUCAUUCAUUGUUAAUCAUCAUUGUUUUUAAACCUGUGCAAAUCAAAUGAUGAUGCUCAAAUAUAAUUUUUGUAACUUGAUAGUGAGUCCAUUAUUUUUAAAUGAACUAAUUUUGAUUUUUCUAUAGAUGUUUUAUAUAAACAACCAUCAUAAACAUGAAAUGAAAAGCAUUUUAUGUUCUCCUGGAGGAUGCCCUUUAUUGAAAGGUCAUUCAUAGUAAAGUUUUUAAUAGGCUACUCAAAUUCUCCCAUUGACACAGUGUGAAUUUGAAAUUUAGGAAUUCUGCCUCCAGGCUAAAAAGAUAUUAAUAUAAAAUUUUAUGUAAAAUAUGAGUCUACUCCAAACCCAUGCUAAGAUAAUUAUCACCCUAGUUGAUGCCCUAGCACAUUUGCAGUGGGUGAGAUUUUUCUCUUUUUUUUUUUUUACUUUUUUCAUAGAGAUGAUUUUAACCAAGUAGUUAUACUUUUUCUUUGCUAUGUUAGGAACAUGGCAAAAACCGCACACACUUUCAAAAAUAGCAGCAUAAUAAUUCUUGGCAUUUCUCUGACAGGUUUAUUCUGAGUUACUGUAAGUGUUCUUAUAGACAUUAUCUCAUUAUUCUUCAAGAUGUUGCAAUUCUUUAGUGUCAGGCAUAGUUAUUUGCAUUUUGCAGAUGGAAAAACUGAGGCUGUGUCUACACUGCAAAGUGGAAUAUGUAAUUAACGGAAUUAUCUAGAUAAUUCUGGCUCACAGACACGAGAGCCGAAAUAUUUGUGCAACAGAAACCAUUUGAGAAGGGUUUGUUCAUAGAAUUAAUGCUUUUGUGAAAUGCUUCAGCUGGUCAGAACAAAGGUGACUGCCCAGAUUCCUUCCAUGAUUUAUUUCAUUAUAAAGGAAUGGCAGAGUAACUAGACCAGGGGAAAGUGCUAACCCAAAUAUUGCCUAAUGAUGAGAAACCAUAAAUGUUACAUAAGGUUAUCGUACAACUUGGUGAAUGAUUUAUCAGUGUUUGCAGUGGAAACUACGUCUGCAUAACCACAACAACAUUUAUUUAUUCCAUUCAAUUUAGCAAACAUUUCUUGAAAGCAUAGUAUGUUCUGGGUUCCAGAGCCAGUAAUGAGAAUAUAAAAGAGUUCAAAACUAGGUGAAAACCAAAUACCAUGCACAGAGUGAAGGACUAGCUGCAGGUCUGAGCAAUGCUACUGGAGAGUGAUGGAGAGGAAGGCCAGGCUUCUGCCUUCAGCUUGUGCAGUGAGUGGGUUGUGGUUCUGAAGGAUAUGGAGAAAGAAGACUUUCCAAAGUAGGAGAUUGGUCUUUGGAAGAGAAGCUUAAGACUUUGAAACAGAAGCAAGAUUUUACCAACGAGGAAGAGAAUCCCAGACAGGGGAUGGGAAGAAUGUAUUUGAAGAAUAGAAAGUGUUACAUGUAGCUGGAGUAUAAUAAAGUCCUUACAGAGUGUGUGCAAAGAGUGGAGGUGAGCAAUGGGGUGAAAAGGCAGAGAUGCAGUUUGCAAAGAAGAUCGGGACCAAAAUCUGGCAUUGAGUAAGAGAGCCACACACAGCCGAACACACGGUUAUGUGUUUCCAGAAUUCACAUCAUUAUUCAGCUGCAUGAGAGAGAGAGGCUCAUUGAAUUAAUUUGGUCCAGCAUUCCGGCCACAUGGAGGACUGAAGCCAAAGUGACAUGACUAAUCCUAGCCCACUGUGGCUGUGGGAGCUGUUGAUUGUUUGCAGUCCCGAAGACAUUCACAUGCAUGACACAGGAAAACCCUCCAAGAAAGCCCCUCCACAUUGGAAAGAAGAAAAUAAGAGGGGGGUUUUAUAGGGGCAACUUUGAAUCCAGCCACAGUUAACUUUAAAAUCAAAUAAUUCACAAACUUGGUAUUUUAAUAAAUUUUAGGAACAAAUUGUUCCCAACAUGCUUCUUACUAAUGGCUAAGAAUAUUCAUUCAACACAUCGACCACCUUCUACAUGCCUCCACAGACCUGGUCAGACAGGAACUCUGCCUCCCAGAGUUUAUAGUGGAGGAGGAAAGAUGGAUGUUCAGCAAAUAUCCAUAUAAAUAUAUAGUUAAAUUUUUCAUGAGGACAGGUUGAGUAUCUCUUACCCAAAAUACUUGGGACCAGAAGUGUUUUGGAUUUUUUUUUUUUAAUUUUGGAAUAUUUUCAUUUCAUUACCAGUUGAGCAUCUCAAAUCUGAAAAUUGAAAUACUCCAAUGAGCAUUUCCUUUGAGGGUCAUGUUGGUACUCAAAAGCUUUCAGAUCGGAGCAUUUUGGAUUUGGAAUGCUCAACCUGUACUAUGAAUGAAAAAGUACAGGGCUCAAUGAGACUAAAAAUGGAAAACUGACUUGAUGGCAUGGGGAAGUAGGUAAAAGAACAACUGAACAACUUCUAAAGAAGUGGCAUGAACUUUGAGACCUGGAAGAGUGGGGUGAAGAUUAUUCUAGGCUCAGAGGACAGCUUAUAGGCAGCUCAAAAAUAGGGCAAAAGUGUGACACGUACAGUUCAGAGAAAUGAAAAGCUAACCUGUCUGGGUCAUGGUGCCAGGGAAGAGAGGUGUAGGACAGCCUGCAGGGUAGUCACAGCCUGAACCACAGGGCACCUUUAUCCUCGAAGCAACGAGAAGACACCAAAUCCUUUCCAGCAGAGAAGUGGCCAGCCUGCAUUUGGAAAGAUUUACUCUGCUGGCAGAGUGGAGAAUGGGCUGAGGAAGGAAGAAAAAUGGAAGCUGGAAGACCAGUUAGAAUGUUAUCACAAAUAGCCCAGCUUAGAGAUGUGGUGACCGGGACUUGAGAAUUGGCGGUAGUGAUGGGCAAACAGACAAAGGCUAGCUGCACUUUAGAAGCAGGAUUUCUCUGGCUUAUUGGUAAGUUGGACUGAGCAAUCGCACCAGGGCAAGUGGUAUCAGGCAUAACUUUCAGUUCAGACUAGAGCUCUACGUAGACAGUGAGCAAUCAGGUAUUUCCUGAGAGAGAGAAACAGAUUCUGUGAAAAAGAUCAAAGUUUGGACACAUCAUAUUUGAGACACGUGUGAGACAUCCAAGUAGAGAGGCCAGGUAUGCAGUGAGAUGAAAGGACCUGGAGCUCAGAGAAGAGGUCUGGGCAAGAUGCAUAAAUGUGGAAGCCAUGAGCUCACGGGAUUCAAAUCCAUGCAUUGAAUGAUAUACCAGGAAAAAGUAUAGAGUAGGUGAAAAGGACCCAUAACUGAGUCUUGAAAACCUCUAGAAUAUAGAGAUGCAGAAUUCAGGGAAAGAAGAGAAUCCAGCAAAAUAAAUAAAAGGGAGUUGCCAGAAAGAAAAAGAAAAUGUGUGUGUGUGUGAGAGAGAGAGAGAGAGACCAAAACUCUAAGGGAAGAGAGUGGUUUAUUAUGUAGGAGGUGGGCGAGUGCUAAAUGCUACUGAGAAUCAGGACAGUUAGGUGAUGAUGCCUACUGAUUGCAGCAAUAUGGAGUUCUUUGGUGACUGACAUUUGCAGAGGUAAAAAUGAAAGCCCAAUUGGAGAGGAUGGAAGAAUAAAUGGGGACAAGGAAGUGAAAAUUUAUGUGCAGUUAACUUUCCAAAAGUUUGUGAAGAUUAGAGAAAUAGGGCUGAAGAAAGAUAUGGUGUCGUGAAAGGGAUUUUGAGGGGGAAUGUGAGAGUGUGUGUGUGUGUGUGUGUGUGCGCGCAUGUGUGUGUGUGUUUUAAGUUGGAUAUAUUGGUGCAUGUCUGUUGAAGAAUCCAGUAGUAGCCCAGUAAAAUAGCUCCCUUUCCUGAAUAGGUAAUAUUAACCUGAUCAAAAUGUAGGUCAGGCAAAAAGGAUCCUUGUGGUGUGAACAGCUAAUAUCUCAGAAGGCAAAUCUGAAACCCUAAGUGGGUACACCUAUGUUCAUUAAAAACUCCCUCUCUGGCACUUACUGGACGUUCAGUUGUCAGUUGUCUAAAUCCACAUAUUACCUUGCUUUUCAUGGUACUGAAUCAGUAGCAUAUAAUUCCUCAAAGCUCUCAAUACAAUUCUUUCUCAGUUCUCCACAACAGACAUUAACAUUCAUGGUCAGAAUUUUCUGAUUCAGGCACAGUAAUAAAACCUCCACAUAUACAGCAACUAUUUCUAAGGAAGGGCUGAAAUCCCUCUUCCCUACUUCCCACCUGCCCAUUUAGGCACCUACUUGAGAUUUCCUAGGAGUGCCUUUAUUGCUAGGCACUACUCCGUUAUUACAAUGAAUCUCAUAGCAGAAAAUGGAUCGCACACAGGUACACACCCAGGGCAAUCCAUCCAAGUAUCUUAAUCUUCCUACGUUACUGGGCUUUCGAGCAAUGAUCUAAAAUUAACUUAUCUUGCCCUAUAAGACUUCGAUUUGGAGAAUAUGAAAUCUUAAUUACUGUUCUUAUUUUCAUAUUGUUGCUGACAUAAAAGUUUUACAGUCAAACAAGUAAACUUUCAAUGCACUAAAUUCAGCAUAAUCGUGUGAAUAUAAAACCUGACCUGGAUUCAGGAGUAGAGUUCUAUUUCUAGCCUUACCCUUGACUCUCACUAUGCAUGACCUUGGAGGAGUUACUAUGCCUCAGAUUUUUCAUCUGUAAAAUACCCACUUCCUACCUUGGAGGAUUAACCUGAUAAUGUCUGUAAAAUACUUUGCCGUCUUAGAGGAAGGACACCACGGCAUUAUCACAUGUCAUUUUUAUGAGAAUCAUGUUGAUGUAUAUGAAUAGAAAGUGUGAACAGUAGUCUAAGGAGUGAGCUUGGAAUAAUAUUGGCUUAAAAUAAGUCAGAUAUAUUUGUGUCUGUACUGACAAUGUGAAUGGCCCUAAAAGACUGUGUUAACUAACCCUACUUAUUUCUGGUUGUGCUUCAAUCUCACUUUGAAUGUUAACUCUAAACCGCUAACCUGUUUCUUUCCCUUUAUUCACUUUUUCCACCCACCAUUGCAUGACAUCAGGGUCAGUUUUGUGCAUGACACCCGCUACCAGUAUUGUACCCAUGAUGCACAGCGCUACGUCCGCCACUGUCUCUGCAGCAACAACUCCUGCAACAAGUG